RNAcentral lists this long non-coding RNA (682 nucleotides) under Pelobates cultripes (western spadefoot toad). Lineage: Eukaryota; Metazoa; Chordata; Amphibia; Anura; Pelobatidae. The record is from RNAcentral.
CACAGAGCUCCCCAGCCCUAACACUCCCAGCAAUGUGACCGUCACAGAGCUCCCCAGCCCUAACACUCCCAGCAAUGUGACUGUCACAGAGCUCCCCAGCUAUAACACUCCCAGCAAUGUGACCGUCACAGAGCUCCCCAGCCCUAACACUCCCAGCAAUGUGACCGUCACAGAGCUCCCCAGCCCUAACACUCCCAGCAAUGUGACCGUCACAGAGCUCCCCAGCAAUGUGACCGUCACAGAGCUCCCCAGCCCUAACACUCCCAGCAAUGUGACCGUCACAGAGCUCCCCAGCUAUAACACUCCCAGCAAUGUGACUGUCACAGAGCUCCCCAGCCCUAACACUCCCAGCAAUGUGACUGUCACAGAGCUCCCCAGCCCUAACACUCCCAGCAAUGUGACCGUCACAGAGCUCCCCAGCAAUGUGACCGUCACAGAGCUCCCCAGCCAUAACACUCCCAGCAAUGUGACUGUCACAGAGCUCCCCAGCCCUAACACUCCCAGCAAUGUGACUGUCACAGAGCUCCCCAGCCAUAACACUCCCAGCAAUGUGACCGUCACAGAGCUCCCCAGCCCUAACACUCCCAGCAAUGUGACCGUCACAGAGCUCCCCAGCCCUAACACUCCCAGCAAUGUGACUGUCACAGAGCUCCCCAGCUAUAACACUCCCAGCAAUGUGACC